AACGAACGCUGGCGGCAAGCUUAACACAUGCAAGUCGAACGGCUUGUUAUCAUAGCUUGCUAUGAUAACAAUUAGUGGCAGACGGGUGAGUAAUGCAUAGGAAUCUACCUAGUAGUAUGGGAUAGCCACUAGAAAUGGUGGGUAAUACUGUAUAAUCCCUGCGGGGGAAAGAUUUAUCGCUAUUAGAUGAGCCUAUGUUAGAUUAGCUAGUUGGUAGGGUAAAGGCCUACCAAGGCAGUGAUCUAUAGCUGGUCUGAGAGGAUGAUCAGCCACACUGGAACUGAGAUACGGUCCAGACUCCUACGGGAGGCAGCAGUGGGGAAUAUUGGACAAUGGGCGCAAGCCUGAUCCAGCUAUGCCGCGUGAGUGAGGAAGGCCUUAGGGUUGUAAAACUCUUUCAGUGGGGAAGAUAAUGACGGUACCUACAGAAGAAGUCC
RNAcentral lists this ribosomal RNA (437 nucleotides) under uncultured Anaplasma sp. RNAcentral's name for it is "bacterial SSU rRNA". It matches the Rfam family "Bacterial small subunit ribosomal RNA", at positions 29 to 493 of the family's 1533-position model. The record is from RNAcentral. Lineage: Bacteria; Pseudomonadati; Pseudomonadota; Alphaproteobacteria; Rickettsiales; Anaplasmataceae.